Molecule: ribosomal RNA, 500 nt
Filed under: uncultured bacterium
Lineage: Bacteria
Description: partial 16S ribosomal RNA
Rfam family: Bacterial small subunit ribosomal RNA
Source: RNAcentral
AUUGAACGCUGGCGGCGGGCCUAACACAUGCAAGUCGAGCGGAUGAGAGGAGCUUGCUCUUCGAUUCAGCGGCGGACGGGUGAGUAAUGCCUAGGAAUCUGCCCAGUAGUGGGGGACAACGUUUCGAAAGGAACGCUAAUACCGCAUACGUCCUACGGGAGAAAGUGGGGGAUCUUCGGACCUCACGCUAUUGGAUGAGCCUAGGUCGGAUUAGCUAGUUGGUAGGGUAAAGGCCUACCAAGGCGACGAUCCGUAACUGGUCUGAGAGGAUGAUCAGACACACUGGAACUGAGACACGGUCCAGACUCCUACGGGAGGCAGCAGUGGGGAAUAUUGGACAAUGGGCGCAAGCCUGAUCCAGCCAUGCCGCGUGUGUGAAGAAGGCACUCGGGUCGUAAAGCACUUUAAGUUGGGAGGAAGGGCUUACAGCGAAUACCUGUGAGUUUCGACGUUACCGACAGAAUAAGCACCGGCUAACUUCGUGCCAGCCGCCGCCGUAA